GCCAGCAGCUAUAUCACCCUGAAACUCACAUCUGGCAACCCACUGAAACUAAGCAGGUGUGAAGCUUGUGAGUACCUGGAUGGGAGACCUCCUGGAAAAAGAAGAAGUUUGCUGCUGGAA
This 120-nucleotide ribosomal RNA is filed under the name Lepisosteus oculatus (spotted gar). The record is from RNAcentral. Lineage: Eukaryota; Metazoa; Chordata; Actinopteri; Semionotiformes; Lepisosteidae.